UUUCUAGCAAUGAUUAGGAGGAGUAGAUCCAGAAACUUUUAAGAGAGUCCCUGGCUGGUGGAAGGGGAUAAGAUAAUGGAUUGAAGGUAGCCUAGGAGCAUGUCUAUUGAAAAAAAGUAGGUAGACACGUAUGACUGCGUUAAGGUCUUGAGGCAUAGAUAAGCUAUGCAAAGUAAGGUGGUACCACGAGCAUUCGUCCUUAUG
This 204-nucleotide non-coding RNA is filed under the name Coprobacillus sp. RNAcentral's name for it is "T-box sequence". It matches the Rfam family "T-box leader". From Rfam's summary of the family: Uncharged tRNA acts as the effector for transcription antitermination of genes in the T-box leader family. T-boxes are found upstream of many aminoacyl-tRNA synthetase genes and some amino acid biosynthetic genes usually in Gram-positive bacteria. The anticodon of a specific tRNA base pairs to a specifier sequence within the T-box motif, and the NCCA acceptor tail of the tRNA base pairs to a conserved bulge in the T-box antiterminator hairpin. Lineage: Bacteria; Bacillati; Bacillota; Erysipelotrichia; Erysipelotrichales; Coprobacillaceae. The record is from RNAcentral.